This is a non-coding RNA of Mus musculus (house mouse), 53 nucleotides long. NCBI's taxonomy places the organism in Eukaryota, Metazoa, Chordata, Mammalia, Rodentia, Muridae. The record is from Rfam.
CCACCUUAAGAGCGCGUCGCAGCCUGGGGAGGCUCCCGGCACCGAGACCAAUG